UCAGGUCCAGAAUACGCGCCGUGCGCGCAGAUGGGACGUGCGCGCUGUGUGCACGUCCUGUGCGUACGUGUUUGCGGAUGGGACAUGCAUGCUGUGCGCAUGCCCUGCGGCCACUGUGCCCGCAUGCGUGCACGCACAGUGUCCAGCACGCGCGAGUAAACUUCUUUCUCACGGGAUUUUUCUCGUUAGUAGGUUUUCUCCCGUUUCACCAUUUUUUGAUUUUUUUCUAAAUUUUUUCCUUGAAAUAAAAAAAAAUAAAAUAAAACAUUUUAAAAUAAAA
RNAcentral lists this long non-coding RNA (280 nucleotides) under Carica papaya (papaya). RNAcentral's name for it is "long non-coding RNA (CPAP_LNC010082)". Lineage: Eukaryota; Viridiplantae; Streptophyta; Magnoliopsida; Brassicales; Caricaceae. The record is from RNAcentral.